UGGCUGUAGCUAAAAUGUCAGAUGUUUACUGGCCGGUUGUUGUGAGAUACACUCUCUGUCGACAGAUCUGCUUACCGAACUUCGUACAUUA
Molecule: non-coding RNA, 91 nt
Organism: Thalictrum thalictroides
Lineage: Eukaryota; Viridiplantae; Streptophyta; Magnoliopsida; Ranunculales; Ranunculaceae
Source: the annotation of a GenBank genome assembly